ACACCCAUGGCAGCAAAUUUGGCAGCCGUCUUCUGCGUUCCGUUUCCGCCGAGGAUCACAAGACAGUCCAGACAGAGCUUAUAGUAAGUCUGUUUCAUUGCCUCAACCUUGUCCAGUCCCUUCUCAUCCGGAACCCGCAUCAGUUUAAACGGCUGUCUGGAUGUUCCGAGAAUAGUUCCGCCCUGAGUCAGGAUCCCGGAAAAGUCCCUGGCUGUAAGCAUACGGUAUUUCCCGUAGAUCAGUCCCUUAUAUCCGUCAUCAAAUCCAUAAACCUCAAGGUUCUCAACGCUGUUGCUCAGGCCCUUCACAACGCCUCUCAUAGUUGCGUUCAGCGCCUGGCAGUCACCACCGCUUGUAAGCAGACCGAUUCUUUUAAUCAUAGCGUCCUCCAUUCUGUGCCCUCUUAUGUGCACAUUUUAUUUGUUGCUGUCUGCAUAUAAGACAGAUAUUCCACCUGACGUAUUUCUGCAGAACAACUACUGUAUCCUCUCUUUUCACAGAGUUUUACACAGUAUAAUAUUAUAAAGCAUUUUCAGGCAGUGUACAAUAGCCAAAAAAACCCGGAUCAUUUAUAUGCCCACAUCCGGAUCGGACCUGGGAUACGAUGAAAUCUCGAUCAGCAAUAUUCCGGCUAAACAGAGCAUUCUCAGCUUCAAUUCAGUUUCACUCUUCGCAACACCAAAAACGGCGGUAUUCAGAACUGCCACCUCAGUCUUCUCAGCUGAUAUCCCUGUUUUAAAACCUGCGCCUUUAUGCUGAAAUCAAAAACUGAAUACGUGAAAUAUCCGGGGGCUCCUUUUUAUAAAAACAGAUCUGGCGCAUCUUGUAGUAACGAAGUCCGUGAGCUGUGCGUCAAGAAAAGCCGCUAUUGUUCAUACCAUACCCGUACCGUAAACCGACACAGGUGGAUGAGGAGAGAAUCCUAAGGCCGGCGGAAGAAGCAUUGUCAAGGAACUCGGCAAAAUGGCCCCGUAACUUAGGGAUAAGGGGUGCCUGGGAAACCAGGCCGCAGAGAAUAGGCUCAAGCAACUGUUUAGCAAAAACACAGGUCUAUGCGAAACCGAAAGGUGAGGUAUAUGGGCUGACGCCUGCCCGGUGCUGGAAGGUUAAGAGGAGAGGUUAGCGCAAGCGAAGCUUUGAAUUUAAGCCCCAGUAAACGGCGGCCGUAACUAUAACGGUCCUAAGGUAGCGAAAUUCCUUGUCGGGUAAGUUCCGACCCGCACGAAAGGCGUAAUGAUUUGAGCGCUGUCUCGACAAUGCACCCGGUGAAAUUGAAAUACCAGUGAAGAUGCUGGUUACCUGCGCCAGGACGGAAAGACCCCAUGGAGCUUUACUCCAGCUUGAUACUGGGAUUCGAUACUGUAUGUACAGGAUAGGUGGGAGACGUUGAGCAUAGAACGCCAGUUUUAUGUGAGUCGCUGUUGGGAUACCACCCUUGCAGUAUUGGAUUUCUAACCUGCACCCAUGACCUGGGUGGGGGACAAUGUCUGGCGGGGAGUUUGACUGGGGCGGUCGCCUCCGAAAGGGUAUCGGAGGCGCUCAAAGGUUCCCUCAGAAUGGUUGCCUCAGGAGCACCGGAUAGAGGUUGUGAAUCCGCCAUGGUCAUUAUCCCCCGAGCUUCGACUUAUCGCGCACCGCACCUUUGUCGGCACUGGUUGCCAGGCUGGCAUAGGCGCGCAGUGCAAAGGAGACCUGACGUUGACGAUCUUUUGGCGUCCAGGCUUUGUCACCGCGAGCUUCCUGCGCUUCACGGCGCGCAGCGAUUUCCGCAUCACUCAGUUGCAGUUGAAUGCCACGAUUCGGGAUAUCGAUGGCAAUCAUGUCACCAUCUUCGAUAAUCGCGAUAUUACCGCCGCUGGCCGCUUCCGGAGAAACGUGACCGAUGGAAAGCCCCGAAGUACCGCCGGAGAAACGACCAUCGGUAAUCAGCGCACAAGCCUUGCCGA
This 1946-nucleotide ribosomal RNA is filed under the name human gut metagenome. RNAcentral's name for it is "bacterial LSU rRNA". The stretch from base 672 to 1946 matches the Rfam family "Bacterial large subunit ribosomal RNA", at positions 1 to 2397 of the family's 2925-position model. The record is from RNAcentral.